CUGUGAUAACCACUUGGCAUGUAUAAUUCCAUGAGCCUGUUGCCACAACCCUGUAAGGUGGUGCCUUGGUCAUUCCCUUUUGCCAAUGAGGAAGCAGGCUCCUUGCUCGUGAUGGCAGAGUCAGGAGAGCCUGAACUUGAUGGAUCAGCUGGCACCACCCAGAUCGAUUAAUUGGCUCAUCUGAUCUGGGGGCCCCCCCGACCCAGGAACUGACUCAGCACAAGGAGACAGCUCCGACUCUCCAUGAUUUCAUCCCUGACCAAUCAGCACUCCUGGCUCACUGGCUCCCCACCCACCAAGUUGUCCUGAAACACUCUGCUCACCCAAUGCUUGGGGAGAGUGAUUUGAGUAAUAAUAAAACUCUGGUCUUCUGGUUCUAGAUCCUUGAGGAAUCGCCACACUGUCUGCCACAAUGGUUGAACUAAUUUACACCCCCACCAACAGUAUAAAUAAAAACAAAAC
Molecule: long non-coding RNA, 462 nt
Organism: Gorilla gorilla gorilla (western lowland gorilla)
Lineage: Eukaryota; Metazoa; Chordata; Mammalia; Primates; Hominidae
Exons: 2
Source: RefSeq, a predicted model, not a curated record